GAUGAACGCUGGCGGCGUGCUUAACACAUGCAAGUCGAACGAAGCGCUUUGGAUGGAUCCUUCGGGUGACGGAAGAAGUGACUUAGUGGCGGACGGGUGAGUAACGCGUGGGUAACCUGCCUCACACAGGGGGAUAACAGUUAGAAAUGACUGCUAAUACCGCAUAUGCACACAGUACCGCAUGGUACAGGGUGGAAAGAUUUAUCGGUGUGGGAUGGACCCGCGUUGGAUUAGCUAGUUGGCGGGGCAACGGCCCACCAAGGCGACGAUGCGUAGGGGUUCUGAGAGGAAGGUCCCCCACACUGGUACUGAGACACGGACCAG
RNAcentral lists this ribosomal RNA (324 nucleotides) under uncultured bacterium. RNAcentral's name for it is "bacterial SSU rRNA". It matches the Rfam family "Bacterial small subunit ribosomal RNA", at positions 28 to 334 of the family's 1533-position model. The record is from RNAcentral.